This 453-nucleotide long non-coding RNA is filed under the name Elaeis guineensis (African oil palm). Its description in RNAcentral is "long non-coding RNA (EGUI_LNC041470)". Lineage: Eukaryota; Viridiplantae; Streptophyta; Magnoliopsida; Arecales; Arecaceae. The record is from RNAcentral.
UCUACGGAUAUCCAUGUAGAAACAACUUGGAUUGCUUCUCUUCUUUUCUUCACAUGCAAUUGAUCAGCCUUUGAAUCCUUUUGAUCAGCCUUUUCUUCUUCCUUAGAUCUUCCUUGAUGUAGAUUAGCCACCAACCAAAAAAAGGAAGAAAGAGCAGAUACCCAAACACCUUUGGGCAUAUGGAAACUUGGACGCCCAAGCUUUUGGGCGUUGGAGAAAGAGAGGGAGAGAGGGGAGGUGUGGAGACUCUCUUGGGCUAAUUGCUUGGAGUCUUGGUUGCUUCUAAAGGUCAAGGGGUGGUCCCCUUAUAUAGGCUUUUAAUUAGAAUCCUAACCAAACUCUAAAUCUUUAAUUAAAGAGGAUUCUUAAUCUCGUUAGGACUCCUUUUAAAGUCUUAAACCUUAUUAUUAGUCCUUAUCAAAUAACGAAAGGGGAGGAGGUGCCAACUAUUGG